Molecule: ribosomal RNA, 569 nt
Filed under: Beauveria bassiana
Lineage: Eukaryota; Fungi; Ascomycota; Sordariomycetes; Hypocreales; Cordycipitaceae
Description: eukaryotic LSU rRNA
Rfam family: 5.8S ribosomal RNA (bases 193-346)
Source: RNAcentral
UCCGUAGGUGAACCAGCGGAGGGAUCAUUACCGAGUUUUCAACUCCCAAACCCUUAUGUGAACCUACCUAUCGUUGCUUCGGCGGACUCGCCCCAGCCGGACGCGGACUGGACCAGCGGCCGCCGGGGACCAUCAAACUCUUGUAUUAUCAGCAUCUUCUGAAUACGCCGCAAGGCAAAACAAAUAAAUUAAAACUUUCAACAACGGAUCUCUUGGCUCUGGCAUCGAUGAAGAACGCAGCGAAAUGCGAUAAGUAAUGUGAAUUGCAGAAUCCAGUGAAUCAUCGAAUCUUUGAACGCACAUUGCGCCCGCCAGCAUUCUGGCGGGCAUGCCUGUUCGAGCGUCAUUUCAACCCUCGACCUCCCUUUGGGGAAGUCGGCGUUGGGGACCGGCAGCACACCGCCGGCCCUGAAAUGGAGUGGCGGCCCGUCCGCGGCGACCUCUGCGUAGUAAACCAACUCGCACCGGAACCCCGACGUGGCCACGCCGUAAAACACCCAACUUCUGAACGUUGACCUCGAAUCAGGUAGGACUACCCGCUGAACUUAAGCAUAUCAAUAAAGCGGAGG